CGGCGCUAUGGCGGCAGCCUAACCAUGCAAGUCGAAGCGGGUAACACAGGAAGAAGCUUGCUUCUUGGCUGACGAGUGGCGGACUGGUGAGUAAUGUAUGGGAAUCUGCCUGAUGGAGGGGGAUAACUACUGGAAACGGUAGCUAAUACCGCAUAAUGUCUUCGGACCAAAGCGGGGGACCUUCGGGCCUCUUGCCAUCAGAUGUGCCCAUAUGGGAUUAGCUUGUAGGUGGGGUAACGGCUCACCUAGGCGACGAUCCCUAGCUGGUCUGAGAGGAUGAUCAGCCACACUGGGACUGAGACACGGCCCAGACUCCUACGGGAGGCAGCAGUGGGGAAUAUUGCACAAUGGGCGCAAGCCUGAUGCAGCCAUGCCGCGUGUAUGAAGAAGGCCUUCGGGUUGUAAAGUACUUUCAGUCAGGAGGAAGGUGUUGUGCUUAAUAACGCUCAUCAAUUGACGUUACCGACAGAAGAAGCACCGGCUAACUCCGUGCCAGCAGCCGCGGUAAUACGGAGGGUGCAAAGCGUUAAUCGGAAUUACUGGGCGUAAAGCGCACGCAGGCGGUCUGAUUGAGUCAGAUGUGAAAUCCCCGGGCUUAACCCGGGAAUUGCAUCUGAUACUGGGUCGGCUAGAGUCUUGUAGAGGGGGGUAGAAUUCCAUGUGUAGCGGUGAAAUGCGUAGAGAUGUGGAGGAAUACCGGUGGCGAAGGCGGCCCCCUGGACAAAGACUGACGCUCAGGUGCGAAAGCGUGGGGAGCAAACAGGAUCACAUACCCUGGUAGUACACGCCGUAAACGAUGUCGACUUGCAGGUUGUGCCCUUGAAGGCGUGGCCUUCCUGCAACUAACUCGUUAAGUCGAACUGCUUGGGUGAGUGCGUCCGGGAGGUAG
This 889-nucleotide ribosomal RNA is filed under the name Morganella morganii. Its description in RNAcentral is "bacterial SSU rRNA". It matches the Rfam family "Bacterial small subunit ribosomal RNA", at positions 31 to 896 of the family's 1533-position model. Lineage: Bacteria; Pseudomonadati; Pseudomonadota; Gammaproteobacteria; Enterobacterales; Morganellaceae. The record is from RNAcentral.